AUGAAAUACGUGAAAAGGUAAAUUCUAUUAUUAUUUAUAGUGCCAUCUUAUUUAAAGUCUUCUUAUUACAUGCAGCAACUACGCAGAAGCCAUACAGCAUUAGGAAGUAAGCAGAGAGCCACAGACAAUUCUGGGUCUCCUGCAAAAGCUGUGAGUGCUGCCCUGCUGGGUAAGCAGGUUGACAGCCAGGAUCCUGGUGUUCAGAAACUCAAACAAAAGAGUGAAAUCCAGUCUCCAGGGAAAUCUCUACCUCCAUUCUGCAGGCUAUUCUGAACUCUUGAAUAGCAGCCAGACCACCUGCUUGUGAGGCAUUCAGUGGAACUGGGGACUCUUGUUGCAGAACUCACAAGAACUCCUGGGGACAUACAGUCAAAUACAUCUGAAGUCUAAUCUGCUCACCAAGAGAACCCUCCCAUAGACACAGGAGAAAGAAAACAAUUGACGAUAAUGUCCCUUGAGGGACAUAUUCGAGAGAACAGAGACAGAGGUAUCUCAAUCCACAGCUAUGCUGGUACAGCCUGACACAUGUAUCAACUCAAGAUAAUGGGGCCCAGAGACACAGAUCUGUCAUUGCAUCUACUUGGGAGCCUGAGGCAGGAGGAUUGCUUCAGCCUGUAGUUCCAAACUUGCCUCAGUUUUUACCUGCCCAUAUGGAUCUCCAACUGUUUGCUAAUGACUACAUAUUUUGUUUGUAUAUGUCCCCUCUGCGAGGCUGGAUCUUCUGAAGACCCUGCUUCCGUUCCUGCUUUGAGCUCCUGCCUUGGCUUCUCUUCAUGCUGGACUAUGCUGUGGAUUUGUGCAGUUAAUCGGGGCUCUUGUUCAAGAUGAUGUCGUGUCCAGCAUUCUUCAUUAGGAAGAUGGGCUGUUUGGAGUAUCUGAGUAAAGGUGCAUUAUGGGAAACUGGCAGGCUUAAAAGCACAAUGACCUUGGUGUAAUUCUGGGGGAUUUGCUACAAGCUUAAAAACAGAGCAGGGGUUUAAGGCUGACAACAGUAAACAUGAACUUUAAAGUUGUGUGCCCAUUGGCUACGCUUGUUUAGGCAGGUGAAGUAGAUUGUCCAAGUGUCAAUAUACGUUACUUCAGACAAGAACCAACAUGUGUUCAGCUUGUAUAGCACAUACAGACUGGCUGGGAAAUAAAUGACACAUGUCCAUGUAUCAGUUUGUAAAACAGUACCAAAGGAAAAAUGUGUGAGCCUCAGAUAUUUUCUUAAAGAGUGACUCUGGGGCGCUCAGCCCCUACUGAUGCAUCUACAAUGCAACCCCUACAUCUAAAGCUCAGAAAAUCUUGGAAGAGGAAAUGGAAUGAGUCAGAGAACAGGAAGGCCUGCUGCUUGACAGUAUUUUCUACACAACAAGAAGCUGCACACAUGGGAUCCAACAAUAUGGUCACCUAAGCAAGACAAGCACAAGGACAACUAAGUUGACAUACCAACAUAGAUGGAGAAAGCUCAUAAGUCUCCAGCUCUUGAUGAAGAGACAUGGUCAAUUUAAUGGCUGCUAAGACAGGGAGAGUCUGUCUCCUCCAGGGAUAACCCUUCUGACAUGUUAUUGAUAUCAAGGGGUCAGCUAUGGAUACAUGUACAUAUGAACAAUAAUAAAUGGACUCAG
Molecule: long non-coding RNA, 1610 nt
Organism: Mesocricetus auratus (golden hamster)
Lineage: Eukaryota; Metazoa; Chordata; Mammalia; Rodentia; Cricetidae
Exons: 5
Source: RefSeq, a predicted model, not a curated record